UCCUCCCUCUUUCUUCGUGCUUAACACAUGCAAGUCGAACGGAAAGGCCCUGCUUUUGUGGGGUGCUCGAGUGGCGAACGGGUGAGUAACACGUGAGUAACCUGCCCUUGACUUUGGGAUAACUUCAGGAAACUGGGGCUAAUACCGGAUAGGAGCUCCUGCUGCAUGGUGGGGGUUGGAAAGUUUCGGCGGUUGGGGAUGGACUCGCGGCUUAUUAGCUUGUUGGUGGGGUAGUGGCUUACCAAGGCUUUGACGGGUAGCCGGCCUGAGAGGGUGACCGGCCACAUUGGGACUGAGAUACGGCCCAGACUCCUACGGGAGGCAGCAGUGGGGAAUAUUGCACAAUGGGCGGAAGCCUGAUGCAGCAACGCCGCGUGCGGGAUGACGGCCUUCGGGUUGUAAACCGCUUUCGCCUGUGACGAAGCGUGAGUGACGGUAAUGGGUAAAGAAGCACCGGCUAACUACGUG
Molecule: ribosomal RNA, 468 nt
Filed under: uncultured bacterium
Lineage: Bacteria
Description: partial 16S ribosomal RNA
Rfam family: Bacterial small subunit ribosomal RNA
Source: RNAcentral